Molecule: ribosomal RNA, 315 nt
Filed under: uncultured eukaryote
Lineage: Eukaryota
Description: partial 18S ribosomal RNA
Rfam family: Eukaryotic small subunit ribosomal RNA
Source: RNAcentral
CCCCUAGAUGUUCUGGGCCGCACGCGCGCUACACUGACCAGUGCAACAAGCAUCCGUCCUUGGCCGACAGGCUCGGGCAAUCUUUGAACGCUGGUCGUGAUGGGGAUAGACUUUUGCAAUUUUUGGUCUUCAACGAGGAAUUCCUAGUAAACGCAAGUCAUCAACUUGCAUUGAUUACGUCCCUGCCCUUUGUACACACCGCCCGUCGCACCUACCGAUUGAAUGGUCCGGUGAAGCCUCCGGAUUGGCGCGCACCCCGGUGCCGCCGAGAAGUUGGCUAAACCUUACCAUUUAGAGGAAGGUGAAGUCGUAACA